AUUGAACACUGGCGGCAUGCCUUACACAUGCAAGUCGAACGGUAACAGGUUAAGCUGACGAGUGGCGAACGGGUGAGUAAUAUAUCGGAACGUGCCCAGUCGUGGGGGAUAACUGCUCGAAAGAGCAGCUAAUACCGCAUACGACCUGAGGGUGAUAGCGGGGGAUCGCAAGACCUCGCGCGAUUGGAGCGGACGAUAUCAGAUUAGGUAGUUGGUGGGGUAAAGGCCCACCAAGCCAACGAUCUGUAGCUGGUCUGAGAGGACGACCAGCCACACUGGGACUGAGACACGGCCCAGACUCCUACGGGAGGCAGCAGUGGGGAAUUUUGGACAAUGGGCGCAAGCCUGAUCCAGCCAUGCCGCGUGCGGGAAGAAGGCCUUCGGGUUGUAAACCGCUUUUGUCAGGGAAGAAAAGGUUCUGGUUAAUACCUGGGACUCAUGACGGUACCUGAAGAAUAAGCACCGGCUAACUACGUGCCAGCAGCCGCAGUAA
Molecule: ribosomal RNA, 493 nt
Filed under: uncultured bacterium
Lineage: Bacteria
Description: partial 16S ribosomal RNA
Rfam family: Bacterial small subunit ribosomal RNA
Source: RNAcentral